UUGACCUCGGAUCAGGUAGGGAUACCCGCUGAACUUAAGCAUAUCAAUAAGCGGAGGAAAAGAAACCAACAGGGAUUGCCCUAGUAACGGCGAGUGAAGCGGCAUCAGCUCAAAUUUGAAAUCUGGCUCUUUCAGAGUCCGAGUUGUAAUUUGCAGAGGGCGCUUUGGCGUUGGCAGCGGUCCAAGUUCCUUGGAACAGGACGUCACAGAGGGUGAGAAUCCCGUACGUGGUCGCUGGCCUUCACCGUGUAAAGCCCCUUCGACGAGUCGAGUUGUUUGGGAAUGCAGCUCUAAAUGGGAGGUAAAUUUCUUCUAAAGCUAA
RNAcentral lists this ribosomal RNA (322 nucleotides) under Pyrenochaeta sp. 14009. RNAcentral describes it as "eukaryotic LSU rRNA". It matches the Rfam family "Eukaryotic large subunit ribosomal RNA", at positions 1 to 319 of the family's 3401-position model. Lineage: Eukaryota; Fungi; Ascomycota; Dothideomycetes; Pleosporales; Cucurbitariaceae. The record is from RNAcentral.